GACGAACGCUGGCGGCGUGCUUAACACAUGCAAGUCGAGCGGUAAGGCCCUUUCGGGGGUACACGAGCGGCGAACGGGCGAGUAACACGUGGGUGACCUGCCCUCAGCUCUGGGAUAAGCCUGGGAAACCGGGUCUAAUACUGGAUAUGACUCCAUGACGCAUGUUGUGGGGUGGAAAGCCUUGUGCGGCUGAGGAUGGGCCCGCGGCCUAUCAGCUUGUUGGUGGGGUGANGGCCUACCAAGGCGACGACGGGUAGCCGGCCUGAGAGGGCGACCGGCCACACUGGGACUGAGACACGGCCCAGACUCCUACGGGAGGCAGCAGUGGGGAAUCUUGCGCAAUGGGCGAAAGCCUGACGCAGCGACGCCGCGUGAGGGAUGACGGCCU
RNAcentral lists this ribosomal RNA (388 nucleotides) under uncultured bacterium. Its description in RNAcentral is "bacterial SSU rRNA". It matches the Rfam family "Bacterial small subunit ribosomal RNA", at positions 28 to 417 of the family's 1533-position model. The record is from RNAcentral.